Molecule: ribosomal RNA, 519 nt
Filed under: uncultured Pseudonocardiaceae bacterium
Lineage: Bacteria; Bacillati; Actinomycetota; Actinomycetes; Pseudonocardiales; Pseudonocardiaceae
Description: bacterial SSU rRNA
Rfam family: Bacterial small subunit ribosomal RNA
Source: RNAcentral
CCAGUUUGAUCCUGGCUCAGGACGAACGCUGGCGGCGUGCUUAACACAUGCAAGUCGAGCGGUAAGGCCCUUUUGGGGGUACACGAGCGGCGAACGGGUGAGUAACACGUGGGUGACCUGCCCUUAGCUCUGGGAUAAGCCUGGGAAACUGGGUCUAAUACUGGAUAUGACUCCAUGUCGCAUGGUGUGGGGUGGAAAGCCUUGUGCGGCUAGGGAUGGGCCCGCGGCCUAUCAGCUUGUUGGUGGGGUGAUGGCCUACCAAGGCGACUACGGGUAGCCGGCCUGAGAGGGCGAUCGGCCACACUGGGACUGAGACACGGCCCAGACUCCUACGGGAGGCAGCAGUGGGGAAUUUUCCGCAAUGGGCGAAAGCCUGACGGAGUGACGCCGCGUGGGGGACGAAGGCCUUCGGGUUGUAAACCCCUGUCAAAGGGAAAGAAGGGUGUCGGCGUGAUAACCGCCGGCACUUGACGGUACCUUCAUAGGAAGCCCCGGCCAACUCUGUGCCAGCAGCCGCGG